RNAcentral lists this small nucleolar RNA (106 nucleotides) under Vigna radiata var. radiata (mung bean). RNAcentral's name for it is "Plant small nucleolar RNA R71". It matches the Rfam family "Plant small nucleolar RNA R71". From Rfam's summary of the family: R71 is a member of the C/D box family of snoRNAs containing the C (UGAUGA) and D (CUGA) box motifs. Multiple nearly identical copies of this snoRNA have been identified in Arabidopsis, and it is thought to function as a 2'-O-ribose methylation guide for 18S ribosomal RNA. The record is from Rfam by way of RNAcentral. Lineage: Eukaryota; Viridiplantae; Streptophyta; Magnoliopsida; Fabales; Fabaceae.
AAUCCAUGUUUAGGGCAUUUUUUUAAUAAAGCUUUAUAUCUCUCCAUGCUUCAUAAAAAUGUUCACCAACUCUCUAGGAGAAAUUUGCAAUGGCAGUUUUGGCACU